GAUUAACGCUGGCGGCGUGCAUAACACAUUCAAGUCGAACGGUGAGGGGGCUUCGGCCCCUGAUCAGUGGCGGACGGGUGAGUAACGCGUGAGUAAUCUGCCUCUGUGUGCGGGGAUUAACAGCCGGAAACAGCUGCUAAUACCGCAUAACGUAUACGGGUCGCAUGGCCUGUAUACCAAAAGGCUUGCUGCACAGAGAUGAACUUGCGUCUGAUUAGAUAGUUGGCGGGGUAACGGCCCACCAAGUCGACGAUCAGUAGCCGGACUGAGAGGUUGAACGGCCACAUUGGAACUGAGAUACGGUCCAGACUCCUACGGGAGGCAGCAGUGGGGAAUAUUGGGCAAUGGGCGAAAGCCUGACCCAGCGACGCCGCGUGAGGGAAGAAGGUCUUCGGAUUGUAAACCUUUGUCAACAGGGAAGAAUAAAUGACGGUACCUGUGGAGGAAGCCACGGCUAACUACGUG
This 465-nucleotide ribosomal RNA is filed under the name uncultured bacterium. Its description in RNAcentral is "bacterial SSU rRNA". It matches the Rfam family "Bacterial small subunit ribosomal RNA", at positions 28 to 507 of the family's 1533-position model. The record is from RNAcentral.